Molecule: ribosomal RNA, 965 nt
Filed under: uncultured bacterium
Lineage: Bacteria
Description: bacterial SSU rRNA
Rfam family: Bacterial small subunit ribosomal RNA
Source: RNAcentral
GGGGGGGUUUUCCGGAUUAUUGGGCGUAAGAGCUCGUAGGCGGUUUGUCGCGUCUGCCGUGAAAGUCCGGGGCUCAACUCCGGAUCUGCGGUGGGUACGGGCAGACUAGAGUGAUGUAGGGGAGACUGGAAUUCCUGGUGUAGCGGUGAAAUGCGCAGAUAUCAGGAGGAACACCGAUGGCGAAGGCAGGUCUCUGGGCAUUAACUGACGCUGAGGAGCGAAAGCAUGGGGAGCGAACAGGAUUAGAUACCCUGGUAGUCCAUGCCGUAAACGUUGGGCACUAGGUGUGGGGGACAUUCCACGUUUUCCGCGCCGUAGCUAACGCAUUAAGUGCCCCGCCUGGGGAGUACGGCCGCAAGGCUAAAACUCAAAGGAAUUGACGGGGGCCCGCACAAGCGGCGGAGCAUGCGGAUUAGUUCGAUGCAACGCGAAGAACCUUACCAAGGCUUGACAUACACCGGAAUCACUCAGAGAUGGGUGCGUCUUCGGACUGGUGUACAGGUGGUGCAUGGUUGUCGUCAGCUCGUGUCGUGAGAUGUUGGGUUAAGUCCCGCAACGAGCGCAACCCUCGUUCUAUGUUGCCAGCACGUCAUGGUGGGGACUCAUAGGAGACUGCCGGGGUCAACUCGGAGGAAGGUGGGGAUGACGUCAAAUCAUCAUGCCCCUUAUGUCUUGGGCUUCACGCAUGCUACAAUGGCCGGUACAAAGGGCUGCGAAACCGCGAGGUGGAGCGAAUCCCAAAAAACCAGUCUCAGUUCGGAUUGGGGUCUGCAACUCGACCCCAUGAAGUCGGAGUCGCUAGUAAUCGCAGAUCAGCAACGCUGCGGUGAAUACGUUCCCGGGCCUUGUACACACCGCCCGUCAAGUCACGAAAGUCGGUAACACCCGAAGCCGGUGGCCCAACCCUUGUGGGGGGAGCCGUCGAAGUGGGACUGGCGAUUGGGACUAAGUCGUAACAAGGUAAC